This is an RNA transcript of Panicum virgatum (switchgrass), 3228 nucleotides long. RefSeq lists it as uncharacterized. NCBI's taxonomy places the organism in Eukaryota, Viridiplantae, Streptophyta, Magnoliopsida, Poales, Poaceae. The transcript has 7 exons. The record is from RefSeq and is a predicted model, not a curated record.
UUUAUUUAUUAUCGUUAUUAUUUGUUGUGUUAAAAUUUGAUGAAGGACAGCCUGAUGGAAAGUGAAAACCGUUGCUUCAUUAUUUACAGGAUCUGUUUUUGACAUUUGCACUCAGUUAUUGCUUGAUUAGUAAGCUGAAAUAUUUUGUUUAAUCUUUGCAUUUUCUUGGUUAGUCGAAAAUUGUAUGUCCUAAGAUGGGACUUGGGAGUGACAUUGCGCUGCUACGUUUCUUCUGACACUAUUCUAGCAAAACAAAAUAACCAUUGUUUAAUCUAAUUUCUCAUUUGGGCCUCCUAUAUUUUAAGUACUUGUAAAACCUGAAUGAUGAUAACUUUAUCUGAUGGCCAUGCCUGCCUGUCUUCAAAAUUUUAGAUGUUUAUCUGAUGGCCAUGCACUCAGGGGCGGAUCCAGCACUGGGUAAAGACACCGUGGAUAAUGAGUAUCAACCGCCACUCAAUUUCACAAUAGGUGACACUAUUGUUUGGCAUUCUUCAAAACUAGCGCGCACGUUUCCCGAAAAAAGAAUCUCGCAUGCAUGAAGUACUAAAUGAAGUCUAUUUGUAAAACCUUUUUAGGGAUGGGUGUAACUUUUCGCGACGAAUCUAAUGACGGUAAUUAAUCGAUAAUUGGCUACAGUGAUGCUACAGUUACCAUCCUCUAAUCAUGCGGUCAAAGGCCUUAUUAGAUUCUUCAGGGUCACUAGCACGGGGGUUCUAGAGUUGGUUUUGUAAACUGAUUUUGUUUGACACCGUAAUGAGCGGUCAAAAUGGCACUAUUCAUUAGCACGCUAAAAUCCUAGCGCGAACCAAACAAGGCCUAUGUAGCAUGUGAAGCUCUGUAAUUCCGCAAUAAAGUAUUAGCUUAUCUGGUGGCAAUUCUAGCAAAUUAUAAAUCACAGGCAUCUACAUAUUCCAGCAUGACUAUUUAAAUUUCUAUGACUAAUCUCUAUGUCUAAUUCAUUAUCUUUGUAUAUGUCAGCUAGCUGCACACUCAUCUCAUCCAAACUUCAAAAAGUGGAAACAUUUUGUUUUGUAGUCGGUACAAGUUCUGAUAGAGUUGUGAUGGAAUUUCUGCUUCGCUUCAAGAUGAUAGAAACACAAAGAGGCCACAGAUUGAGUCAGAAACAAUACAAUUGCUCGAGCAAGAAAGAGUUUCUGCUGAUGUCAAUGGUGCUCUUUGUUGCUGUGCACAAUCACUACAAGAGGAUAUACAAGCCAAUUCGGAGACUCGCCGCUCGACCUCGCCGCUGUCGCCGACUCCGGGUUCUUCGACGGGCCCGUGCUUCCACCAGGAGACGCUCAACAUGUUCUCGGGGAUGGGCCGGUCGGUGUGGAAGGAGGCAUGCGCCACGCUCCAGAAUAUUCUAUCAGCUGCUGAGCCAGUCUUGCCUGACAACAAGGCCCUCAGGAACAAGUGUUUCGUUCCAAUGAGUGAUAUAGAGAUGGUCCAGCCAAUCAUUGUUGGAGGCUACACAGACUUCUUUUGUUCCGUGCGUGAUGGCAGGAAUUGCGGGUUUAUCUUCUGUCGGUUUGUUCACUUCUCUGAAAGAUCAAGCCACUGAAAAGCAGUUAAUUGCACUGAAAAAUAUGAAACAGAUGGUAAGCUUCCCUCACUGUUAUGAAGCUUAGUAAUAUACAGUAAGAAAGUUCAGCUCUUGAAGCUUAGUGUUUUGCAUUUAACUCUGCACCGUAUGUCAAAUAAACCCUUUUAGGUAUAUGGUAUGAGACAAAAUGUGAAGGUGCUUUCUCAAAAGCUGACAAUUAAAACUGAGGAUAGCUUGGACUUUUGAACUUGUCAUAGAUUACCAUUUGGAAAAACAAUAAUAGACAUUGCUUGAUUCAAGUGUGAAAUUGGGUAUGCAGCAUUGAGUUGUUAACAGUUGAAAUGCUGAUUAAUAUAAGCGAGAAAUUUUUAUGGCCUUCUUAGGGUGCUUAUUUCUAUUUUUUUUGGGAUGGCUAAUUAUUGUUGAAAAGAAAUAUAAGCUUCAUGUUAUCUCAGAAUUCAGAUGUCAAGCAAAGUUCAAUUCAUGCUCUAUUUUGUUUAAUGAUUUGAUUUUAACUAUCUCAAUUUUCCCUGAUGGCACCUUACUGACUGUUUGGGAAAUUUUUAAUUAUUUAAAUUUUUAAUCACCUACUGUGUUCCAUAUAUAUGUAUAUAUAUAUACAUAUCCCAGCCUCGCCUCCGCGUUCGCCCUCGACGCCGUUGCCCUCGGAGGCGCUGUCCCGGCAUCGCUCGUCUGCCUAGCUCGCCGGCCAGGGGAUGCGUGGGCUAGAGUGCUUUGUCACAUGAGUGGGAAUAUGGAUAGGCUGUCAAUGUUACUGAUCUAUAUUCCUAUAAAUUAUGGUUUCCUUGUUUCAGUAUGCUACUAAAAGAAAUCAGGGUGCAUGGGAAGCAAGGAAAUCUAAUGCUACAUUUGGCAAUGAGGUUCCUUCUGUCUAAGUUGCAAGAUACAAAGUUGAUUUUUGAACUUCAAUCUGAUGAGUCUACUAAUUUUAUCCGGGUUGCUCAUUUGUCCAAACUGCUGCUCUUUUAAUGCGUUAAUCUAUGCUAUGUUCUAUUUCACUCUAGGAGCUUAGUUUGUAAAUAUUUAUUGUCGUAUUCAUUUCACUGUAUAGGGUUCUCUUGGAGCACUUAUGGAGGAAGUUGUCAUGUUUACUGUGUAUACUAAACAUAAAAAAAAGAUUUUUCUUCUGAUACUAUAAAAUAACUCUGAGCGUCUGGAAAUACAGUACUCAAAACGAUUACAGGGUGGAUGAGUGCUUCAACAUAUUUCAGAGGAACUACUCAAUUGUUGGAUCAUUCGGACAACCUUGUGAAAAGAAAGACACUUGGGAUGUUGUCUGAAACUGCCAGAGGAAACGGUUUGGUUCAGAACAAGCAAAUUAAAAGCACGAAAACUGAAGCAUAGCUCUGUUAUAACUGUGAUCAAAUUGGACAAGAGCUCUGGUCCAUAUUUCAGCAACUUGUGCUUAAAGAUUCUUGAAUUAAUUGACAGAGUGGUUGAUUUGGACACUUCAGUGAAAACGGGACACUUCAGUUAAAGUGUGACCACAUGUUAAUAGUACUUCAUUUUUCCUCUUUCAGGAGCAUUUGCAUUAUGAUGUGGUGAAGCGAUUCAAAUAAAUGUAUAUAAAAAUGGAGAUUUCAAUGUCUAAUAGAGAUGUAAAGGGUUUGCACUUUGGUAGACUAAAUUUCUCACCAGAAAUACAGAUGUUUAUUUACCAUGCA